AAAGUCCUGAUGUGUACGUCGUACACCUUGUUUUGACCGAACAACUUUAAAAAUGGGAGUCCGGAGUUUUCAAGUGUAGUAAAUGCCUCACAUUCGAAUAGAGGACUUACAAAGCUUGAAGCAGGACACCCACCUGCUGAGAGCGGGAUCAAAACGAAGGAAAUGGCGACGGCACAAUUGGGACUUCU
This 188-nucleotide non-coding RNA is filed under the name Aeribacillus alveayuensis. RNAcentral's name for it is "6S / SsrS RNA". It matches the Rfam family "6S / SsrS RNA". Rfam says of the family: E. coli 6S RNA was the first non coding RNA to be sequenced, but its function was unknown until recently. It consists of 184 nucleotides that fold into an extended hairpin structure with a large single-stranded internal bulge. Lineage: Bacteria; Bacillati; Bacillota; Bacilli; Caryophanales; Bacillaceae. The record is from RNAcentral.